AACAGGAUUAGAUACCCUGGUAGUCCACGCCGUAAACGAUGUCUACUAGCUGUUCGUGGUCUUGUACUGUGAGUAGCGCAGCUAACGCACUAAGUAGACCGCCUGGGGAGUACGGUCGCAAGAUUAAAACUCAAAUGAAUUGACGGGGGCCCGCACAAGCGGUGGAGCAUGUGGUUUAAUUCGACGCAACGCGAAGAACCUUACCUACUCUUGACAUCUAGCGAAGAUUGUAGAGAUACGAUUGUGCCUUCGGGAACGCUAAGACAGGUGCUGCAUGGCUGUCGUCAGCUCGUGUUGUGAAAUGUUGGGUUAAGUCCCGCAACGAGCGCAACCCUUAUCCUUAGUUGCCAGCACGUAAUGGUGGGAACUCUAGGGAGACUGCCGGUGAUAAACCGGAGGAAGGUGGGGACGACGUCAAGUCAUCAUGGCCCUUACGAGUAGGGCUACACACGUGCUACAAUGGUAUGUACAGAGGGAGGCAGGCUGGCGACAGUGAGCGGAUCUCUUAAAGCAUAUCGUAGUCCGGAUCGCAGUCUGCAACUCGACUGCGUGAAGUCGGAAUCGCUAGUAAUCGCAAAUCAGAAUGUUGCGGUGAAUACGUUCCCGGGCCUUGUACACACCGCCCGUCACACCAUGGGAGUGGGUUGCAAAAGAAGUAGGUAGCUUAACCUUCGGGAGGGCGCUUACCACUUUGUGAUUCAUGACUGGGGUGAAGUCGUAACAAGGUAACC
This 731-nucleotide ribosomal RNA is filed under the name uncultured bacterium. RNAcentral describes it as "bacterial SSU rRNA". It matches the Rfam family "Bacterial small subunit ribosomal RNA", at positions 771 to 1501 of the family's 1533-position model. The record is from RNAcentral.